UUCCCCCAGUAGCGGCGAGCGAACGGGGAGCAGCCCAGAGCCUGAAUCAGUGUGUGUGUUAGUGGAAGCGUCUGGAAAGGCGCGCGAUACAGGGUGACAGCCCCGUACACAAAAAUGCACAUGCUGUGAGCUCGAUGAGUAGGGCGGGACACGUGGUAUCCUGUCUGAAUAUGGGGGGACCAUCCUCCAAGGCUAAAUACUCCUGACUGACCGAUAGUGAACCAGUACCGUGAGGGAAAGGCGAAAAGAACCCCGGCGAGGGGAGUGAAAAAGAACCUGAAACCGUGUACGUACAAGCAGUGGGAGCACGCUUAGGCGUGUGACUGCGUACCUUUUGUAUAAUGGGUCAGCGACUUAUAUUCUGUAGCAAGGUUAACCGAAUAGGGGAGCCGAAGGGAAACCGAGUCUUAACUGGGCGUUAAGUUGCAGGGUAUAGACCCGAAACCCGGUGAUCUAGCCAUGGGCAGGUUGAAGGUUGGGUAACACUAACUGGAGGACCGAACCGACUAAUGUUGAAAAAUUAGCGGAUGACUUGUGGCUGGGGGUGAAAGGCCAAUCAAACCGGGAGAUAGCUGGUUCUCCCCGAAAGCUAUUUAGGUAGCGCCUCGUGAAUUCAUCUCCGGGGGUAGAGCACUGUUUCGGCAAGGGGGUCAUCCCGACUUACCAACCCGAUGCAAACUGCGAAUACCGGAGAAUGUUAUCACGGGAGACACACGGCGGGUGCUAACGUCCGUCGUGAAGAGGGAAACAACCCAGACCGCCAGCUAAGGUCCCAAAGUCAUGGUUAAGUGGGAAACGAUGUGGGAAGGCCCAGACAGCCAGGAUGUUGGCUUAGAAGCAGCCAUCAUUUAAAGAAAGCGUAAUAGCUCACUGGUCGAGUCGGCCUGCGCGGAAGAUGUAACGGGGCUAAACCAUG
Molecule: ribosomal RNA, 916 nt
Filed under: Escherichia coli
Lineage: Bacteria; Pseudomonadati; Pseudomonadota; Gammaproteobacteria; Enterobacterales; Enterobacteriaceae
Description: partial 23S ribosomal RNA
Rfam family: Bacterial large subunit ribosomal RNA
Source: RNAcentral